GACGGACGCUGGCGGCGUGCUUAACACAUGCAAGUCGAACGGAAAGGCCCUGCUUUUGUGGGGUGCUCGAGUGGCGAACGGGUGAGUAACACGUGAGUAACCUGCCCUUGACUUUGGGAUAACUUCAGGAAACUGGGGCUAAUACCGGAUAGGAGCUCCUGCUGCAUGGUGGGGGUUGGAAAGUUUCGGCGGUUGGGGAUGGACUCGCGGCUUAUCAGCUUGUUGGUGGGGUAGUGGCUUACCAAGGCUUUGACGGGUAGCCGGCCUGAGAGGGUGACCGGCCACAUUGGGACUGAGAUACGGCCCAGACUCCUACGGGAGGCAGAAGUGGGGAAUAUUGCACAAUGGGCGGAAGCCUGAUGCAGCAACGCCGCGUGCGGGAUGACGGCCUUCGGGUUGUAAACCGCUUUCGCCUGUGACGAAGCGUGAGUGACGGUAAUGGGUAAAGAAGCACCGGCUAACUACGUG
RNAcentral lists this ribosomal RNA (468 nucleotides) under uncultured bacterium. Its description in RNAcentral is "partial 16S ribosomal RNA". It matches the Rfam family "Bacterial small subunit ribosomal RNA", at positions 28 to 507 of the family's 1533-position model. The record is from RNAcentral.